This 575-nucleotide ribosomal RNA is filed under the name Clostridioides difficile. RNAcentral's name for it is "partial 23S ribosomal RNA". It matches the Rfam family "Bacterial large subunit ribosomal RNA", at positions 1559 to 2146 of the family's 2925-position model. The record is from RNAcentral. Lineage: Bacteria; Bacillati; Bacillota; Clostridia; Peptostreptococcales; Peptostreptococcaceae.
GGAUGUGAUGGGGAGCGAAAUUUAGUAGCGAAGUAGCUGAUUUCACACUGUCAAGAAAAGUCUCUAUCGAGGUUAAAGGUACCCGUACCGCAAACCGACACAGGUGGGUGAGGAGAGUAUCCUAAGGCCAGCGAGAGAACUGUUGUUAAGGAACUCGGCAAAAUGACCCCGUAACUUAGGGAUAAGGGGUGCCACCAUCCGGUGGCCGCAGAGAAUAGGCCCAAGCGACUGUUUACCAAAAACAUAGGUUUCUGCUAAGUCGCAAGACGAUGUAUAGGAGCUGACGCCUGCCCGGUGCUGGAAGGUUAAGGGGAUCUGUUAGAGCAAUCGAAGCAGUGAACUUAAGCCCCAGUAAACGGCGGCCGUAACUAUAACGGUCCUAAGGUAGCGAAAUUCCUUGUCGGGUAAGUUCCGACCCGCACGAAAGGCGUAACGAUUUGGGCACUGUCUCAACAACAGACUCGGUGAAAUUGUAAUUCCGGUGAAGAUGCCGGAUACCUGCGACAGGACGGAAAGACCCCAUGGAGCUUUACUGUAGCUUGACAUUGGGUCUUGGUACUACAUGUACAGGAUAG